CGAGUGGGGUUUUUUCUAUUGUUGGGGGAGCUGAGAGGCCUGGCUCUGACCCCUUGUGGGGAUGACGCUGGCAUCCCAUGGGGAGAAACAUGCAGCGUGUGGGGGGUUUCGCAGGCAGUCUCGUCCCAGUGCCCUUUGGGUGCCAGCCGGGCCGCUGACGAUGCUGAGCGGGAGCGCAGGGACCGAGAGGAGCGGCUGAGACACUCGCGGAACCCGGCUACCCGCGGCCUCCCUUCCACAGCCUCCGGCCGCCUGCGGGGGACGCAGGAAGUGGCUCCCCCCACACCCCUCACCCCUACCUCACACACGGCUAACACCUCCCCCCGGCCUGUCUCGGGCAUGGAGAGAGAGCGGAAAGUGAGUAUGCGGUUGCACCGCGGGGCCCCCGUCAACAUCUCCUCGUCCGACCUCACAGGCCGACAAGAUACCUCUCGCAUGUCCACCUCACAGGACUAGGCCUGAGCCCUGUCGUCGUACCGGCGAGGAUGUGCGUCUCCCCUGCCUGCAGGCUGUGCCCUGAGACCCAGUUGUGGGGCUGCCCAGCACCUGCCAUCCUGCUGGGAGUCA
This 567-nucleotide small RNA is filed under the name Pongo abelii (Sumatran orangutan). RNAcentral describes it as "processed transcript". Lineage: Eukaryota; Metazoa; Chordata; Mammalia; Primates; Hominidae. The record is from RNAcentral.